GCGGUGGAGUAUGUGGUUUAAUUCGACGCAACGCGAAGAACCUUACCAGGUCUUGACAUUGAUGGACAGAACUAGAGAUAGUUCCUCUUCUUCGGAAGCCAGAAAACAGGUGGUGCACGGUUGUCGUCAGCUCGUGUCGUGAGAUGUUGGGUUAAGUCCCGCAACGAGCGCAACCCCUAUCUUAUGUUGCCAGCACUUCGGGUGGGAACUCAUGAGAGACUGCCGCAGACAAUGCGGAGGAAGGCGGGGAUGACGUCAAAUCAUCAUGCCCCUUAUGACCUGGGCUACACACGUACUACAAUGGGAGUUAAUAGACGGAAGCGAGAUCGCGAGAUGGAGCAAACCCGAGAAACACUCUCUCAGUUCGGAUCGUAGGCUGCAACUCGCCUACGUGAAGUCGGAAUCGCUAGUAAUCGCAGGUCAGCAUACUGCGGUGAAUACGUUCCCGGGCCUUGUACACACCGCCCGUCACACCACGAAAGUCGGAAGUGCCCAAAGCCGGUGGGGUAACCUUCGGGAGCCAGCCGUCUAAGGUAAAGUCGAUGAUUGGGGUGAAGUCGUAACAAGGUAGCCGUAUCGGAAGGUGCGGCUGGAUCACCUCCUUUCUAGGGAGA
This 614-nucleotide ribosomal RNA is filed under the name Rothia sp. (in: high G+C Gram-positive bacteria). Its description in RNAcentral is "bacterial SSU rRNA". It matches the Rfam family "Bacterial small subunit ribosomal RNA", at positions 929 to 1533 of the family's 1533-position model. Lineage: Bacteria; Bacillati; Actinomycetota; Actinomycetes; Micrococcales; Micrococcaceae. The record is from RNAcentral.